AUUGAACGCUGGCGGCAGGCCUAACACAUGCAAGUCGAACGGUAACAGGAAGCAGCUUGCUGCUUUGCUGACGAGUGGCGGACGGGUGAGUAAUGUCUGGGAAACUGCCUGAUGGAGGGGGAUAACUACUGGAAACGGUAGCUAAUACCGCAUAACGUCGCAAGACCAAAGAGGGGGACCUUCGGGCCUCUUGCCAUCGGAUGUGCCCAGAUGGGAUUGGCUAGUAGGUGGGGUAACGGCUAGCCUAGGCGGCGAUCCCUAGCUGGUCUGAGAGGAUGACCGGCCACACUGGAAAUGAGACACGGUCCCGACCCCUACGGGAGGCAGCAGUGGGGAAUAUUGAACAAUGGGAGCGAGCCUGAUGCAGCCAUGCCGAGUGUAUGAAGAAGGCCUUCGGGUUGUAAAGUACUUUCAGCGGGGAGGAAGGGAGUAAAGUUAAUACCUUUGCUCAUUGACGUUACCCGCAGAAGAAGCACCGGCUAACUCCGUG
Molecule: ribosomal RNA, 490 nt
Filed under: uncultured bacterium
Lineage: Bacteria
Description: partial 16S ribosomal RNA
Rfam family: Bacterial small subunit ribosomal RNA
Source: RNAcentral